AGCCACGCAAUGAGCACAUAGCAAAUUAUUCUUUCCCCUUUUACUAAAGAAUACCGUGUUCGUUGCAAAUAGUGGCCUUCGCCUAUAUUCAGAAUGCUCAAUAUUUGUUUAAAAU
This 115-nucleotide small nuclear RNA is filed under the name Solanum tuberosum (potato). RNAcentral's name for it is "snRNA U5". It matches the Rfam family "U5 spliceosomal RNA". From Rfam's summary of the family: U5 RNA is a component of both types of known spliceosome. The record is from Rfam by way of RNAcentral. Lineage: Eukaryota; Viridiplantae; Streptophyta; Magnoliopsida; Solanales; Solanaceae.